Long non-coding RNA from Culex pipiens pallens (northern house mosquito), 2539 nucleotides. RefSeq lists it as uncharacterized. Lineage: Eukaryota; Metazoa; Arthropoda; Insecta; Diptera; Culicidae. The record is from RefSeq and is a predicted model, not a curated record. The transcript is spliced from 6 exons.
UACUACAAUUUUGUUUUUGUUUCAAAUAAAAGCUUAAAUAUUAUUUACAUUUGAUAGUUAUUUUCGUGUUAGUCAGUGUUCUAGUACUACAACUGAAAUGUGAUCCACUUUUUCAGAUGAUUCGGUUGACAUUUCAUACAUGGUGACGGCUCGCGGUACAGUUCAGCUGGUGCUGAACGGAUUCCCCUUCACCAAGCUAAACGUUCGAAAGAACAUGAUAUUUUGGGCAUGCUGUCAAGCGAAGCCACUCAACUGCACAGCGCGGAUAACAACCUAUCGAGGAUCGAAGGAGGGUUCAUUCGCGAUGCGUGGUGAACACAAUCACCAGAUAAUCAAGGAACGGCGCAAAGCUGGCGACCGGAAGAAGCUUCUGGAGGAGCGAGAACGGGAAAGAGCGCAGUGUCAGAAGCGACGGAAGCAUUCCUACACCGAAGUCUAUGAAUAAAGUUGCGAAUAGUUUAAAGUUAUUUGUUUUUCUUUUGAAUUUUAUCUUUUGUCAGUGAUUUUUUUUUAUUGACAGACAAUUUGUUCUUUCAGGUGACCCAACGGAUCGAGACAUCAAGUUUAUGAUUUGUGGAAAGUCGCGCAAGCUGUUCAUCGAUGGGUUCAGCUUCACGCGGAAGGUGCUGCGAACAAACUACACCAUCUGGGAGUGCUGCCAGGCGAGGCCGUUGGGCUGCAAGGCGGGCGCCACAAGCUACCAGGACGCCAGCAGGGUGACCGUCCGGGGAGAGCACAAUCACGAAAUCGUAACGGAGCGGCGAAAGCUAGGCCAGCGAAAGAUCCUCAUGGAGGAGAGAAGACUGGAGCGGAUCAGCCGGAAGGCAACGUGCUGACAAAAAUACAAAUUUUAUUUUUAUAAAGAUCUGUUGUUUCUUUGAUGUUAGAAAAGAUGAAAUGAUUUUGGAGGCCCAUAAUUCUAAUACUUUUGGCAUUAUUUCAGAUCUUCCAAAAUCGUUCUUCGUAAUGAGCAACCAAGGACUUCAACUGUCCCUUGACGGACACGUUUUCACGAAGGAAAGCACCGAAAGCGAUUCCAUCCAGUGGAUUUGUGCUCAAUCAAAGACACUCGAAUGCAAUGUUCGCGCGAGAACCGCUCGGGAUAAAACCCGUAAACUGCUUCACAUUCAAGGAUUCCACAAUCACAAGAUAAUUACGGAACGACGAAAAAGCGAAUCGAUCAAAGCGCUAGUUGAGCAGCGCAAGAAGGAGCUCGAAGAGCGGAGAAUGCGACUUUCUGGCGUUCAAUAACUUUGACAAUAAACAAGAUUUGCAAAAUACACCCAUAGUCUGAUUGUAGUACUAGAUUAUCUUUAUUUUCACGUUUUCUUUUGGUAUGGUUUCAGUUUUGCAGCGCCGUUGCUUUGACUAACCCCUUCUUCCAAUUGUGUAUAUUUUCGCACGCCUCACGUACAUCAGAAAAUGGAAACGAACCGCAGGUGCAGUACACGAUUAGCAGUCGUGGAACGCCCCUUCUACUGCUGGAUGGAUUCACCUUUACCAGGGAUAAAGUACGCAACAGUGUUACCUCAUGGAGAUGCUCGCAGCAUCGCACGCUUAGCUGCAAGGCACGCGCCAACGCCGUCCGCGACCGUAGUGGCCAAAAGAAAAUCGUUAUCAAAUACUCGCACAAUCAUCCGCUUGUUUGUGAGCGUAGAAAGAAAAGUUCCUCUAAAUAAAUAUACGCGCUACUUCUAGUACCUCAGCAAUAGCUAGUCAAAAUCUGCGCCUUUCAAUUCGUGUUUGGUUUUGUUUGCUUGUUUUUAAAUUAAAUUUAACGAGUAACAACUAACUAAAGCAUUUUCCGUUUAACAGUGACGUACUCGGUUAGCCGACGUGGGAGGCAGCAGAUAUGUUUCGAGGGACACAGCUUCGAGGUGGAAAAGGUGCGUCGUGGUUCAACAAGCUGGCGGUGCUGCCAGGCGAAACCGCUCAAAUGCAAAGCAAGAAUCAUCGAGCGGUCUGUCAAUGAGAUUCCGGAAUAUGAAAUUGUACGAUCCGAGCACAACCAUGAAAUUAUAACUCAGCGGAGAGUUCGUGGAGCGCUAAAACGUGCUAGUUAUCUGAGAGUUCAGCAAUUUGCAAGAGAAUAAACUAUUAUUUUAUAAAAAAAUAUUACUUUCAUAUAGAAAUGCAGUUUCAUACAAUUCUUGAAGAAAUUUUAAUUCUUUGCAUAUUUUUUCAUCAACAGAAUUCCAUAGCACGGAUCACAAAGUGCAGUACGUUAUGAGCGCUCGUGGUGGCCUGCAACUCUCCAUCGAUGGCUAUCGGUUUACACGGGAACGAUUAAAAGGCAGCAGCAUCGAGUACCGUUGCGUCCAUUACAAACCACUCGGCUGCAAGGCACGCGCUCGUUCCGACAAAAGCAUCUCCCAGCUGCGCGUCAUCGAAAGCGUGCACAACCAUCCGCUGCAAAUGGAUCGCCGCGGCCCGGGUGCCCUGCGGAAGCUGCUCGAGCAUCGCAAGGCGGAAAACCGACAGAAACCUCGUGCCCGAACAGUGAAGAAAGAAAUACAAUAAAACGUUUAAACUCACCUGA